Molecule: long non-coding RNA, 870 nt
Organism: Athene cunicularia (burrowing owl)
Lineage: Eukaryota; Metazoa; Chordata; Aves; Strigiformes; Strigidae
Exons: 3
Source: RefSeq, a predicted model, not a curated record
CUUUCCAGUUUGCCCAUGCUCUGCAGUCAGCAGGAAUGCUAAUCAUGAGCGGCUUCACCUCAGUAUGGCUGAACAAACAAUCCAGGUUGUCUUCACGAGGGAUGGAAAGCUGGAUGAUACAGUCAGUAGUGUAUAGGCUGCAGUCACUUCAUCCUACAGUGAGCGAUUCUGCUUCAUCUUAAAACACCAGUGACUUUGCUAACUGAUGAGGUCAGUUUUGGGUAUAAUGGGAGAUGAGAUACCCAGCUCAGGUGUGGAUCCCUCACCACAGGCACCUCAUCUGAGACCAAAUGAAGUUGGAAGAAAGGUCACAGCUUGGUUUUAGUAGCUGACCUUGGAGGGCUCCUGAAAAGGGAAUGCAGGCACAUGAACAGCUAUUUUUUUACCCUUUUUACCCUUACCUUUGACAACAAUAGUGCAAAUUCAUGUGGUUUAGCUGAUGGUCAGUUUAAAGUACCGCUUCACCCUGUCAGGUGAACCUGAUGGAAGACUGUAUCUGUAUGUCAUGCAGAGAACCCAGGACUGUUGCCUACCAUGCAUGCUCUCGCCACUGGGCUGUAAGAGUCCUUAUCAUGCUGGAGGAAGGCUAUAAAUAAUAACGAGCAAGAGCAAGACUACGCAGGCGCUAUUCCUUCCACCUCCCCAAGGAGCAGCGGCCCGCUGCCAGCGGGCUCUGGGUGCCAGAAGCCCACGGGAAUCUUGCCCAGGGGCUGUGCAGGGGCUCGGGGCUGCACCCGCCAAGCCCCUCCGGACUCAAGGCCAGAGCUCGGGGGACCGGGGAGGUAACGCCUCUGGAGUUCUACUUGGCAGAACAGUAUUGGGAUCUGACGGGGAACAGCCUUGGCUGGUUUAGGGCUUUUGUUCGCAUUG